GUUGGCCCGUCUUUUCUCACAAGCAAAACGUCGAACACCUUUCUCUUGAACCCAAUACGGGUUCUUGGAAUCGGUUAUUGGCCCUCAGUCAAGAAAUUCCUAGAAGCCAACAAGUAGUGGGUAAGGGCGAUCAAAGAAUUUAUUGGCAUUGCAUGAAGAUGUAACGGAGAGUGUAAAAUACUUGAAAACAUGGGAGUUUUUUCGCUGAAAAGAUCAAGGUAUGGUUGUAUUAAGGGUAGUGUGAUUUGUGAGAUGGUGCGGUGCAACUGAGGCCUGGAUUUGUAACAACCAGAAUUCGUAGGCCUAUGUAGAAAUAACACGAUAGGAAUUCUUGUAAGCCUAUGGUAUCUUGUAGAAAUGUCAGCCCAGCUUGUUUCAGUUAUGCAGCAUGGGUGUCUUGCUUGUAAA
This 408-nucleotide long non-coding RNA is filed under the name Panax ginseng (ginseng). RNAcentral's name for it is "long non-coding RNA (PGIN_LNC013936)". Lineage: Eukaryota; Viridiplantae; Streptophyta; Magnoliopsida; Apiales; Araliaceae. The record is from RNAcentral.